Molecule: ribosomal RNA, 445 nt
Filed under: uncultured bacterium
Lineage: Bacteria
Description: partial 16S ribosomal RNA
Rfam family: Bacterial small subunit ribosomal RNA
Source: RNAcentral
GUAAGGAAUAUUGGACAAUGGACGCAAGUCUGAUCCAGCCAUGCCGCGUGAAGGAUUAAGGUCCUCUGGAUUGUAAACUUCUUUUAUAAGGGACGAAAAAAGGCUUUUCUAAGUCGUCUGACGGUACCUUAUGAAUAAGCACCGGCUAACUCCGUGCCAGCAGCCGCGGUAAUACGGAGGGUGCAAGCGUUAUCCGGAUUCACUGGGUUUAAAGGGUGCGUAGGCAGGCAGGUAAGUCAGUGGUGAAAUCCUAGAGCUUAACUCUAGAACUGCCAUUGAUUCUAUCUGUCUUGAAUAUUGUGGAAGUAAGCGGAAUAUGUCAUGUAGCGGUGAAAUGCUUAGAUAUGACAUAGAACACCUAUUGCGAAGGCAGCUUACUACGCAUAUAUUGACGCUGAGGCACGAAAGCGUGGGGAUCAAACAGGAUUAGAAACCCUGGUAGUCC